UUGUGAGAACUGUUGCAAAACUAAGGAAGUCAAAACAGGAAAAUUCUCGCCUGACAGGUUCAUCUCAAUGCUUCUCUUAGCACUGAAAUGUUAUGUUCGUUUCUAGGAUUUGAAAAAGGUUUGAAAACAUUUUAAACACUGAACGUAAUCUGCUUUUAAUGUACUGUGUUCAGUGAACAGGGAAGUUUUGUUGUAAACCAUCUUCACUCCAUGAUCUCUGAAUAAUUCGCAUCACGCUUUAUUGAGUUUUCCUCUGAUGUGAUUUGGGAAGCAUGCAGGAUACCGUGGGGUGUAAUGCAGCAUUCCUGCUCUUCUGGGACUCAACAACACUGGUUCAGACCUCAAGCCCUGACAUACCAGUGAAAGUUACAGCUACACCUGAACACAUCCACCCAGAGCGCUCACAAACAACUGUAACUGAUUUCAGAGCAUCAACUCUACAGAGAACAUCUACAACAACACCAACGCUGGUUCCCAGCCAUCUGCAAACUCAGGAAACAGUUUCAAGACAAGCAGUGACACCUGAUUCAAAGUCCACAUCCAUGAACAUGCCCUCAAUGUUUCCAACCACUCAGGAAAACCAAAAAACGAACACUCACACAUCCUUAAGUCCAAUUUCUCCCACAUCUCCGCUCAGGUCCCUAAGCAAUGACUCAAAACCCGUCACCACUUCAUUAGCUCAUGAAUACAGAGGCUCAGCUUUGGUGAUAUUAACUCAAAGUGGGCUAAACAGGUCUGAUUCAGAAGGUACUACAAUCAAAGACACCUGGUCAAACAACAUAUCUUCAAUACCAGCAGGUCUAACAAACCCACCAUUGUCAAGCAACACCAGCAGAGAUGGAAAUACAGAUAACUCUGCAAACUCAGUGAAAAGCACUACUUUUUUUGUCUUCAACACUCCCAAAGUGCCUGUGUUUAAAGCAAUCACCUUUAAUCACCCAUUGGUUAAUCAAGUCACAGUGAUGAAAACCGUUUCAAGACCAUGAAACGGUCAUAUAAAAUGACUUAAAAGCAAAGUGUGUGAGUCUGAGAGCUUAUAUCUGGCUCCUCGUGUGCAUGACUAAUGUGGAAGAGCCAGAGACAGAUCAGGAAUAUAAAGAAUGUAGAAGUUGAAAUGUUUUUGUGGUUACUGAACAUCAAGCAGAUCAUAUGACUAAGUGCCACACACCAACAAACAAAUAAACAAAGACUGAAACCAAAUGUGAUGGAAGAA
Molecule: long non-coding RNA, 1213 nt
Organism: Cyprinus carpio (common carp)
Lineage: Eukaryota; Metazoa; Chordata; Actinopteri; Cypriniformes; Cyprinidae
Source: Ensembl